Molecule: long non-coding RNA, 3663 nt
Organism: Nelumbo nucifera (sacred lotus)
Lineage: Eukaryota; Viridiplantae; Streptophyta; Magnoliopsida; Proteales; Nelumbonaceae
Source: RefSeq, a predicted model, not a curated record
UUCUAUAAGAGGAUGAUGCUUGGGGAGAUUUUGUGCUUUCUAUUUGCAAUCUCGUUGUGAGUCCGUUGUGCUUUCUGUGUUUGGUUCAUCUCUCUUCUGAGUUCUAUAAUCCUUCCAUUUCAUCAAACCUAUUUGUUGCAAUGGCUCCUCGUGCUCAGAGUAGUAGAUACUGCAGAUAUGCUCUUAGAGCGUGAGGCUGUGAAAAUGGCAGAUGGUGGGAAGGGUUUCUGGCCUCCUAUGCAAGUAGCGAGGGGUAAAGGCGGUGAGUUUGAUGCCGUGGAGGAAGAGGAGAUGAUGUGUUUGUAUGGUCGUAUGGAUUGUUCACUAUCAUUCCAGUGUCACAAGCUGAGGACUGAUCACUCAAAGUCACUGGUAAACUACUAUGACUGGGCUGGAGAACCCUAUGUUUUUCCUGUUACUUUGUGAUGCCGGUCUUCUCCGUUUCAUCAACUACUUUAUGGAUCUCCCCGACAAGGAGGGGGUCAGUUAUAUGAAGCCUCUUCUAGAGAAUUGGUGUUUCCGUAUUCACACCUUGUGGGUGCUUUUGGCAAAUUUGGCAUCACCAUCGAAGAUGUUGCUGCUCUCUUGGCCCUUCCAGUAGGAGGAACGAUAUCCGUACACCAUUUAUAGUUUGCUAAAUCGAUCCUGCCAAUCUGUCCGCUUGUGCGCAGAACCCACAGAGGAGAUCCGUGUUUUAAAGUCUCAAGUGGAUGAACCAUCUGCCCAUGGGAAGAUGUCAUUAGAAGGGUGGAUAGCGUACUGGUAUGAGAGCAAGGGUUCGGAUGACAUCAUGGUUUGAAAGGGGAACAGCCAGUGUCAUCUUAUUUCCCGGUGUCCCUAACUAUGGCCUUCGGAUGGUUUUGGGUUCUCUUGUUGUUCUUGCUACUGGUGGCCAUCAAUUGCCGUUGGCUUCUAUGUUUUUGGGCUUCCUGUUCAACUAGAUGGACUACACUGUCCAUCAAAUAAUGGAUCCAAGCUACAAGCGGCGUUGCAAUUACAUCUUCUCUCCUUUUAUCUUUAUGUUUAUCUAUGACCAAUUUCAACUCAGUGUUACUCCCCGUCAGCUAUCUCCUUUAAUCGUUACCAUUGCGACUCUGGAGGGUGAUCCAGCCAAGGAACAGUCUCUGGGUGUUUACCGAGGGAAGCAGGGGCUCAGCGCCAAGAGGCUUAGACAGUUUGGUGUUGUUGAGAUCGAGCUGAAACUGUCUUUGCCCGAGGUAUUGUUUGGUGGCCGUAUGUUCAUCUUGUCCGUCAUUCCAUGCCAUUCUGUAUUGCUGCUAAUGUUCCUGAGGAUGGCAAUCAACAGUGUGCCAUCGAGGCCGACCAUCCUCUUGCAUGUGUUGUGCAGCUUGUUCUCUGGCCUGACGUCAUCGCAUAUAUGGGUCGUGCCGGAGAGGCUCAAGUGACUACCUACCGACUUGACCGGUUACUCCACCAAUUUGGUUAUGAUGACAUGGGAUUGAGGUUUGUAAAUCUAUGCUAGAGAGGCUCUGCAGGUGAAGAUGUUUUCUGGAGUCGUUGAAAUAGCCUGGCUAUUCCUGGUGUCACUUGUUUCCCUCUAGCCGGUUUCAAGAGGGUCGAGGUUUGUAAAUUUGUGCGAUGGAUUUAUCUUUGCUCUCUUCUUGGCAGGCUGCAACUAUUCAUGGUUGCUGAUCCCCUCCCUCAUCAUGUUAUGGCCCCCCCUUUGGGUCAUGCAGCUAAACAGGGGCAGGAGGAGGCCCCUUCCCAAUCUAAUGCCCUUUAGGUUGAUGUAGAGGAGCAGGAGUUCUUGGGCGCUGUUCAUAAAGGUAAGCACCCUACUGUUGAAGAGGGUGAAGGCAGUCGUCCUACUGCCUAGAAGAGGUCCAGGACAAGGUCUUUCUGGCCAAUAGUAUUGMGGCCAUUCGUGAAUCAUAGUCUGACAUUCUGGCAUCCCAUGCAAAUGAUCAUCCUAUUGGAAUUGCUCGACAGGAGCAUUCUGAGGGGGUUGUACUGGAUCUCUCAAUUACUUCUCCUAAGGUUGGGGAGGCAAUGGAUAAGGAAUCGGAUCAAUCAGCGGUCCCGGUUCCUCCUGCUGUAGUGGUUACAAUUCCAGUCGCCGAUGGGAGAGUGAAGAAGAUGGCUCCCUAUCCUUGGAGGAAGGAGUCAGAAAAUUCUGGAUUAUCAUUUGUGUUAAAGCAGGUAGAUGCUAUGAGGCUCACCCUGAAGCUGGAAUCCCGCAAGUUACAUCCGAGGGUAUUGUGGGUGAAGAGGGAUUUUGUGAUGUGAGUUUUACGGAUGUCUCAGCGGCACCGAUGAUUAGGUGUUUGGUGGAAGGUUUGAAGUCUUUGCAGCCUCCUACUAAGGGGUAGAAGGCACCUCAGAAGCAUUCUGUUGGCUCGGAGGGUGCAAGGGUUGAUGGAGAGGGCGUUGUUGGCGAUUUUGUGCAUGUCGACCCUAUGCGAGGGCAAGAGCCCUCUAUGCUUGUGCGAGACCAGCCCCUUAGGAGUUCGGUGGGUGAGAUUGAGGUAGCGCAAAGGCAUGAGCCCCCUGUGCUGGAGCAACCCCAGAUGGUGUGGUGGUCGGGGUCGAGAAAGUGCAUGAGCGUGGCCAUUUGUGUCCGAGUAGCCCCCCAAUAGUCUAGUAAGCGAGUGUGGGCAUGAACAGAGGCCCUCUGUUGUGGUGCUAGAGCAAUCUCUUGGGGAGGAACAUGAGAAGAUGGUUACUGCUGUAUUGCCCAAGCAGCCUCGCGGGGAUGUGAUGCCAGAAUCUCAACGCAAAGAGGAGCUUGUACCUAUUGACCACGGGGAAACUAAAACCGUUUGGAGAGGUAUCGGCAAUGCAAUGCCAACAUUCCAAGGCUUUAACAGAGCUAAAUGUAUGCUUUGAGACUCAACCUGAACCUGAUCCUGUGGGUGUUGAGACUUCAUCGCAAGAUGAGCCUAGGUCGUAUUCUGAGAAGCUCACAUUGGUGCGUUAGGAGCUCAAGGAUUACUAUGAAAAGCAUGAGCUCGUGCCACAAGGUUACUUUAUUUCCGAUCCGGUCACCAUUCAGGGCCUUUGCAAGCAUGAAAAGUACGUCAUUUCAAACUCUGUGGCGAAAACUACAGCAUUGAUUGUUCAGGAAGGGUGGCUACCAACGAUGACUGACGUCCCACCAGUGGUCAUGGAAGCAUCAUUGAACACUAUAGCGGCAGUGAUGAACUGCAUUAUGGACCAGUCGAUAGAUGAACUCUCAUGGUCUGGUUUUGCCUGUUUGAUGAGAACUUGUGCAUCAUUUGCCUUCUUGGGUUUCAAGAUGGAUUGGAUAAAGGAGAGGGUGGUUCUCUUGGCCCACGUUUUCUAGAAGGCCAGUUACAAGGAGUCCAAGCCUCUGACUGCGAAAGCUUCCGAUGAACUCCACCAGCACCAAAGGGUUGUCCAGAAAAAUCUUGCAAAGGCUAAGGAAAAACAGAAUGCUUUGUUUGACGAGGCUGCCUACCAACAGAAAAUAGUAUGGCAAUUUUAGGAGGAGGAUAGGAAGAUUACAGAAAUCAAAUCGCAAUGGCAGAGUUUGGAGGAGAUCACGCGAAUGAGGGACGAGUGGUAUAAGGACUAGUGUUUGCACUUUGUAGAGACAUUCACUACUUAAUGAAAAGAUGAUGUUCAUAUUCUCUGUAUGUUAUCUGCUGAUUCUUUUUCUAUUGAUUUAUGCGAUAAAAUUCU